UUGGUUGAUAUCAAGUUUAUUCUGUUUUAGGGGAGCAAUGUGGUGAUUGAGAUAAGUUUUGGUGCUCCUAAAGUGACCAAAGAUGGAGUGACUGUUGCAAAGAGCAUUGAAUUCAAGGGUAAAGUUAAAAUGUUGGUGCCAGUCUUAUUAAGAAGGUUGCAAAUGCAAACAAUGAUGUAGCUGGUGAUGGAUGGCAAACCUUUUUUCAAUGAGCUGGAAGUAGUUGAAGGAAUGAAGCUUGACAGGGGCUACAUAUCUCCUUAUUUCAUAACAAAUCAGAAGAACUAGAAAUGUGAACUGGAGGAUUCUCUCAUUCUAAUUCAUGUUGUAGUUAAAGUCUUAGAGUUGGCUUUGAAGUGGAAGUUGCAAGAUUUGUUCAAAUGUUGCAGAGAAGUUUUUUUUUUUUUUUGAUAGGCAGUGUUGCAGAGAAGUUGAUAUCACUGGGUGGACAAAGUCUAGCAACGCUUUGGUGGGGGAAGAUUCUUGAGAGGAUGUCAUUGAGUGUGAUACAGUUUAUUUAUUGUUGGGAUCUCAAAAUUGUGGAAUUUAUUUUGGUGCACAAUUUUUAGUUUGCUUGAUUUCAGCACAGAUAUAUAGAUUGGGUAUCAAGUGUUAAUUUAGUCAUGUUUUGAUUCAUUUGGCUGCAUUUAUAAAAAAGGUUAAAAAAAGGUUAGGUAGCGGUUCUCUCUUUCUUUUUUUAAUCUUAGGUAGCGGUUUUUUUUUUUUUUUUAAUAUUAGGUAGCGGUUUGUUCCUUGAUGCGUAGCGGUUUUUAACCACUGCCCAUCUAAUACCAUGCGUUGCGGUUCAUGGAACCGCUGCCCAUCUUUUAAUUGGAUAGCGGUUAAAAACCGCUGCCCAACUUUAGCAACGCUCAGUUAUGCACCGGUCCCAGAAUCGCUGCCCAACUCAUAACAUAACCGCUACCCAACCCCUUUUUUGUGGUAGUGAUGGUAUGAGAGACUCAGCUCAUUCCUUCUGGAAAAUGAGUUUGUAAGGGGUAAAGUAGAUACAACUCUCUUUUGCAAAACUUAUAAAGAUGAUAUCUUAAUUGUGCAA
This is a long non-coding RNA of Lotus japonicus, 1057 nucleotides long. RefSeq lists it as uncharacterized. The transcript is spliced from 4 exons. NCBI's taxonomy places the organism in Eukaryota, Viridiplantae, Streptophyta, Magnoliopsida, Fabales, Fabaceae. The record is from RefSeq and is a predicted model, not a curated record.